RNAcentral lists this ribosomal RNA (513 nucleotides) under uncultured bacterium. RNAcentral describes it as "bacterial SSU rRNA". It matches the Rfam family "Bacterial small subunit ribosomal RNA", at positions 15 to 518 of the family's 1533-position model. The record is from RNAcentral.
GAUCCUGGCUUAGGAUGAACGCUAGCUACAGGCUUAACACAUGCAAGUCGAGGGGCAGCGGGAAUCUAGCUGCUAGAUUGCUGGCGACCGGCGCACGGGUGAGUAACGCGUAUCCAGCCUUCCCCUUAGUAGGGCAUAGCCCGUAGAAAUGCGGAUUAAUACCCUAUGUUAUUCGUCGAGGACAUCUGAAGUGAAUCAAAGGUUUACCGCUAAGGGAUGGGGAUGCGUCUGAUUAGGCAGCAGGCGGGGUAACGGCCCACCUGGCCUACGAUCAGUAGGGGUUCUGAGAGGAAGGUCCCCCACAUUGGAACUGAGACACGGUCCAAACUCCUACGGGAGGCAGCAGUGAGGAAUAUUGGUCAAUGGUCGAGAGACUGAACCAGCCAAGUAAGCGUGCAGGACGACGGCCCUAUGGGUUGUAAACUGCUUUUAUGCGGGGAUAAAGUGACGUACGUGUACGUUUUUGUAGGUACCGCAUGAAUAAGGACCGGCUAAUUCCGUGCCAGCCGCCGC